Molecule: long non-coding RNA, 1154 nt
Filed under: Phasianus colchicus (ring-necked pheasant)
Lineage: Eukaryota; Metazoa; Chordata; Aves; Galliformes; Phasianidae
Description: lncRNA (ENSPCLG00000005882.1)
Source: RNAcentral
GCAGAACAAGCUGUGCUGGAGUAGACCCAGUGUCCCUGCCGACCAGAGCUGCCUCUGGCAGGGGAGACCUGGCAACAACAAGGAACUGCCAGCACCUGCUCAGCCAGGGGAGGUGCUCCAGGACAGGGCUGAAGACCAUGGGCACAGCACUACUGUGCUAUGCUUUUUCUGCAUAUAACCAACCAGCAGUAGUCUGCCCAGCUUGCACUGUUAUGCUGUAUUUCUGAAAAAAGAAAAACCAAAAAAAGAAGAAAAAAAAAAGAGCAAUCUGCUUUCAGGGCUUCCGUGUUUUCCUUCAGCAUGCAGUUAAGUCAAGUUACCUACAAAAGCUGAGACAUAAGCCUCUGUUACUAGUGACACAGGACAGGUCUAAUUCCCUUUCCAGCUCAGCCCCCAGGGACCAUGGUUUGCCAUGAGUAACUAAUACAGCAGCUUUGGAGCCUAGUUCUUCUCUCAUUUAUGUCAGGCAUGAGAUUGAAGACAAUGACUAAUCCCCAAGAACUGCAGCUCCAGAGAGAGCGGCACCUCCACAGAGACAGCCGCAACGAGGCCUCAGCAGAACACCAGCCCUGCCACAGAAAGCGCAGCUGGGAGAACUUCAUGCACAUAGGGAGCCAGAACCAUGGAGUCAACAGGAGGUCCUCCUUUCUGCCAUCGUUGAGCACCGAGGGCAGCUCCAUUACAACCAGCCCAACUGAAAGGCCCACACCGAAGACAGUCCUGAUGAUCAGAAGACUUAAUCUCCAGACAAAACAGAACCAAACUUCUAAGCGAUGUUCUUUUGGUUUGGGCCCCUCCACUUCAUCUAUGCUUACUGCUUAUGACAGAAGUAAAUGGAUAAACACAUGGCUAAUUUUUGGAGUCUCAAGAUAACUUCAAAAGACCAUUGUAUACCAUUGGAGGGAGAUCUCCGCCUACUCUUCACUAACAGAUCUGAAAUAUCCCCACUAGGACUGAUUUGUAAUCACUGCAAAAGAUCAACCUUCAAAGUAGUUUUAUAUCAGUGAAAACAGAUAGAUAUCAACAUGUUGAGAUGACUGGAAACUAUGUUGAAAUAACUCAAGAAGUACUGCCCAGUAUUUCCUCUCUUUUCUGGUUUGGGGUGACCUUGUAGAUACUAAAAUAAAGCAAUAGAAAGCCUGUGAGAAGAACCA